Molecule: long non-coding RNA, 437 nt
Filed under: Homo sapiens (human)
Lineage: Eukaryota; Metazoa; Chordata; Mammalia; Primates; Hominidae
Description: HSALNT0070834
Source: RNAcentral
CACAGAAGCAAUUAAUAAAGUCAACAGAGGAUUGAGAGAGAUCUUUACAACAGCUGAAUGGGAGAAGAAUACACAGACACAGAAUACAUGCGUUGUAAAUGCCAGUUGUGUGAAAACAAAAUUGGUGUAAUAUGUAGCUGGAUAUAGUCAGGCUGGCAUAAAGAAUCAAAAAGACUUUCCUGGAAGUUUAAUCAUGUUGCAACAUAACAAAAAGAGAACAACUGGAAAGUCAGUUGUCAAAAAUAAGAUGGCUUCAAGCUCUGCAAAAACACAGGGAAAGUACAAAUGGGCAUGCAAAUGGAUGCUUCUGAUGCCUUGACCAUGUCCUGUGGGUCCAGGAGCCCUUCUUUCCUGACUGUUGAUCCUGCUCCGUUAUCAAGUUGACUCUUUUUGCCUCAUUUCACCCUACUUCCCCUAACCUUCCUCGUUUUGUUGGU